RNAcentral lists this ribosomal RNA (250 nucleotides) under uncultured bacterium. RNAcentral's name for it is "partial 16S ribosomal RNA". It matches the Rfam family "Bacterial small subunit ribosomal RNA", at positions 524 to 775 of the family's 1533-position model. The record is from RNAcentral.
UACGGAGGGGGCGAGCGUUGUUCGGAAUUACUGGGCGUAAAGGGCGCGUAGGCGCUUGUCAGUCAGGCGUGAAAGCCCCGGGCUCAACCUGGGAUGUGCGUUUGAUACUGCGAGGCUAGAGACCGGAAGAGGAUGGCGGAAUAUCCAGUGUAGAGGUGAAAUUCGUAGAUAUUGGAUGGAACACCAGUGGCGAAGGCGGCCAUCUGGUCCGGGACUGACGCUGAGGCGCGAAAGCGUGGGGAGCAAACAG